GGCUCGUUUUCGGUAUGGAGUAUUUGACGAUUCUCGACAUCCCUCUGACGACGGUUGCCACCUUUUCUGCACCGAAGGUUUGCAGGUGUUCAGGUUUUGCGACGAGGAAGGUAAUGACAACAUUUCGCAGACAAAAAAUUCUGAUUACGAAACCUGCGCAUCUAAACCAACCUCGGCUGUUAUAAGGGAGAGCGAGGACUACCAUGAAUUGCAAGGCCGUACACUUGAGACAAUACCCGAUGUGAUAUUUCAUGUGAUUCAACACAUCGAGGCGC
Molecule: long non-coding RNA, 275 nt
Organism: Ixodes scapularis (black-legged tick)
Lineage: Eukaryota; Metazoa; Arthropoda; Arachnida; Ixodida; Ixodidae
Exons: 3
Source: RefSeq, a predicted model, not a curated record